UACGUAGGCAGCAAGCGUCGUUCGGAAUUACUGGGCGUAAAGAGUGUGUAGGUGGUGCUCCAAGUCUGUUGUGAAAUCUCCCGGCUUAACUGGGAGGGUGCGGCGGAAACUGGUGUGCUUGAGGGUGGGAGAGGUAAGCGGAAUUCCUGGUGUAGCGGUGAAAUGCGUAGAUAUCAGGAAGAACACCCGUGGCGAAGGCGGCUCUCUGGGACGGUACUGACGCUGAGACGCAAAAGCGUGGGGAGCGAACAGG
This 253-nucleotide ribosomal RNA is filed under the name uncultured bacterium. Its description in RNAcentral is "partial 16S ribosomal RNA". It matches the Rfam family "Bacterial small subunit ribosomal RNA", at positions 524 to 776 of the family's 1533-position model. The record is from RNAcentral.